This 2119-nucleotide long non-coding RNA is filed under the name Helianthus annuus (common sunflower). Its description in RNAcentral is "hypothetical non coding rna". Lineage: Eukaryota; Viridiplantae; Streptophyta; Magnoliopsida; Asterales; Asteraceae. The record is from RNAcentral.
CCAGAAGUUUAUUGACUUUAAAUUAAACUUCAGGUAAAUCAGAGUCUUGCAAGCUUACAUAAUACAAUGAGAAUCCCCAUGUAUGAACAAAAAUAGAAUACAAUAUGGGAAUUUGGAAACAAAUAAUAAGGUAAGUUAUUACAUCACAUGAUUAAUAAUUUACCGAUCGAUGCCCUCGAUCUUGUCUUCAACCUCCGAGUACAGCUGCCUUAACUUCUCGAUGUUAUCAUCAGAUGUGUCCCAGUACCCUCGUCCGUUGGCCUCCAAGAAUGUCUGCAGCAACUUCCUGAAGGAGUUCGGGUUGGUGUUCAUUAGCCGGUUUAACAUCUCCUCGUCUUUAAUGAAGGUUGUGUUAGCCUCUUCGUACACCCAGUUGUCGACUUGCCCUGAAGUUGCACUCCACCCGACUGUGUUGGUGAGCCGCUUCUCAAUCUCACGAACGCCCUCGUAACCGCUUGACAGCAUCCCUUCGUACCAUUUUGGGUUCAGUAACUUUGUGCGUGCGUCUAGACGGACCGUCUCCGAGAGGGUGCGCACUUGUGCGUUAGCUGUGGUUGUGUCUGCAAUGUAGGCGCUUGGUUUCUUCCCGUCUUUCCGUAGGCUCCCGACAAGGUUAGUCGGGUCGGAAUCAAAGUAAUGGCUCACAUCGGUUAAUGAAAUCUCUGAUGAGUCGAGGUUUUGGAAAGUGGCUUCGGCUGUACUUAACGCCAUCUCGAAAACUUUUCGUUUCUCGCUCAUUCCGGCACCAGGAGUGUCGCUGUCGAAUGCGAAUGACUUUCUGCUCAAAUACAUGUCUUGAAGCUGUUUCUCAUCGUUCCAUGUUGAGUUUUCGACUGCAAGGUUUACGUUUGAUGAGUAGGAGCCAGAUGCAUUGGAGAAGAUACGGGUCGCAGCUUCUCUAACAUCGACGCCAAGAGUCUCAGCCUGCUCAAGUGCGUGUUUUCUCACGUAGUUUUGCUCCAAUGGUUCGUCCAGCUCGGCAACCAUCUUCACUGCCCGGUCCAGGAGAACUUGGUGUCAGAUAAAUACUGAAUCCAUGGCUCAUUAAGACCAAACCCAAGGAUCGAAGUCAAUUUGCCCGACACAUCAACCACUUGACCCUUGCUGUUGGUGCUUCUCUGCACGAAAGCUGAAACCGCCCCACGAGAUGCAUCUGUGAUCUGCUUCAAUAACUCCACAUCCUUCAAGAUCCCCUUAUCGCUGCCUCUGUAGACAUCUUCAAUCUGUCUACCAAGUGUCUCAGCCAGUAUUGAUGGAAGAGACGAGAUGCCUUCUUCUGGGCGAUCCAAGGCGGCGAUAUUGACCAAGGUGGCAACAGCCUCCAUGGCGGAUGGCGGCUCACCGAUAACGUGAAGUCCACAUGGCAGCAGUCUGGACUCAAUCUCCAUGAUCUUGGAGUAGACCUUUCCCACAACAAGAUCACGUUCCUUGCUUGAAAUCUCUGCUCCUUCAUCGGGCAGGUCAACAUCUUUGUCAAGAUUGCAUUGCCUAGCUGUACUAAUGAUGGAGCUCACGAUCUGUUGACCACGACCCGUGUCUUUGAGAGACUGAUAAGAUGAAAUCAACUCACUCAGCUGCUUCAAACCCUUGUAAAGACCAGCAUUUUCUGCAGGUGGUGUCAAGUAACUGAUGGUAUUCGCAUAGCUUCUUCUCUUGGCAAUAGUGGCUUCUGAAGGAUUGUUAGCGGCAUAAUAAUAAACAUUCGGGAUGUUUCCAAUGAGACUGUCAGGGAAACAAGCAUCGCUCAUCCCGACCUGUUUCCCAGGCAUGAACUCCAACGACCCGUGGGUCCCGAAAUGAAGAACCGCAUCGGCUUUGAAGAUUUUCUCGACAUAAGAGUAGUAAGCUGCAAAGCCGUGAUGUGGACUAGCGGAUUUGGAGAAAAGCAGCCUCAUGGGAUCACCCUCGUACCCGAAAGUGGGCUGGACACCGAUGAACACAUUUCCAUAUUGUUUCCCGUAAACCAAAAGGUUCUCACCAUCGGAGUUCAAGUUCCCUGGUGGCUUUCCCCAGUUCUCUUCUAAUGCUGUGGCGUAUGGAGUUAACUGCUGGUACUCUCUCACUCCCAUCUUGUAAGCAAUGUUGAGGUUCGGACUGCUGAAUUGAGCUUCUUUGUCGU